Molecule: ribosomal RNA, 497 nt
Filed under: uncultured bacterium
Lineage: Bacteria
Description: partial 16S ribosomal RNA
Rfam family: Bacterial small subunit ribosomal RNA
Source: RNAcentral
GGAUGAACGCUGGCGGCGUGCCUAAUACAUGCAAGUCGAGCGAACGGACGAGAAGCUUGCUUUUCUGAUGUUAGCGGCGGACGGGUGAGUAACACGUGGAUAACCUACCUAUAAGACUGGGAUAACUUCGGGAAACCGGAGCUAAUACCGGAUAAUAUUUUGAACCGCAUGGUUCAAAAGUGAAAGACGGUCUUGCUGUCACUUAUAGAUGGAUCCGCGCUGCAUUAGCUAGUUGGUAAGGUAACGGCUUACCAAGGCAACGAUGCAUAGCCGACCUGAGGGGGUUGUGCGCCCCCCUGGACCUGACACCCGUCCCACCCCCCCAGGGGGGGCAGCAGUGGGAAAUUUUCCGCACGGGGGGAAAGCCUGACGGAGCCCCGCCGCGGGAGUGAUAAAGGUCUUCGGUUCGUAAAACUUUUUUUUUGGGAAAAAACAUUUGUUAAAGUACCUUGGCCAAUUUUGGCGGUACUUAAUCAGAAAGCCCCGGCUAACUCCGU